This 345-nucleotide unclassified non-coding RNA is filed under the name soil metagenome. Its description in RNAcentral is "partial contains 5.8S ribosomal RNA, internal transcribed spacer 2, and large subunit ribosomal RNA". The stretch from base 1 to 120 matches the Rfam family "5.8S ribosomal RNA", at positions 35 to 154 of the family's 154-position model. The record is from RNAcentral.
GAUGAAGAACGUAGCGAAAUGCGAUACGUAAUGUGAAUUGCAGAAUUCAGUGAAUCAUCGAGUCUUUGAACGCACAUUGCGCCCCCUGGUAUUCCGGGGGGCAUGCCUGUCCGAGCGUCAUUGCUGCCCUCAAGCCCGGCUUGUGUGUUGGGUCUCGUCCCCCUUCCCGGGGGGACGGGCCCGAAAGGCAGCGGCGGCACCGCGUCCGGUCCUCGAGCGUAUGGGGCUUUGUCACCCGCUCUGUAGGCCCGGCCGGCGCUUGCCGAUCAACCAAAACUUUUUUCCAGGUUGACCUCGGAUCAGGUAGGGAUACCCGCUGAACUUAAGCAUAUCAUAAGCGGAGUA